Molecule: unclassified non-coding RNA, 343 nt
Filed under: soil metagenome
Description: partial contains 5.8S ribosomal RNA, internal transcribed spacer 2, and large subunit ribosomal RNA
Rfam family: 5.8S ribosomal RNA (bases 1-120)
Source: RNAcentral
GAUGAAGAACGCAGCGAAAUGCGAUAAGUAAUGUGAAUUGCAGAAUCCAGUGAAUCAUCGAAUCUUUGAACGCACAUUGCGCCCGCCCGCAUUCUGGCGGGCAUGCCUGUUCGAGCGUCAUUUCAACCCUCGACCUCCCUUUGGGGAAGUCGGCGUUGGGGACCGGCAGCACACCGCCGGCCCUGAAAUGGAGUGGCGGCCCGUCCGCGGCGACCUCUGCGUAGUAAACCAACUCGCACCGGAACCCCGACGUGGCCACGCCGUAAAACACCCAACUUCUGAACGUUGACCUCGAAUCAGGUAGGACUACCCGCUGAACUUAAGCAUAUCAAUAAGCGGAGGA